Molecule: non-coding RNA, 24 nt
Filed under: Drosophila melanogaster (fruit fly)
Lineage: Eukaryota; Metazoa; Arthropoda; Insecta; Diptera; Drosophilidae
Also listed under: 1 other name
Source: RNAcentral
AACCUCAUCAAGUUACCAUUCCGC